AUUGAACGCUGGCGGAAUGCUUUACACAUGCAAGUCGAGCGGCAGCGCGGGGCAACCUGGCGGCGAGCGGCGAACGGGUGAGUAAUACAUCGGAACGUGCCCAGACGUGGGGGAUAACUACUCGAAAGAGUGGCUAAUACCGCAUACGAUCUACGGAUGAAAGCGGGGGAUCGCAAGACCUCGCGCGUCUGGAGCGGCUGAUUGCAGAUUAGGUAGUUGGUGGGAUAAAAGCCUACCAAGCCAACGAUCUGUAGCUGGUCUGAGAGGAUGAUCAGCCACACUGGGACUGAGACACGGCCCAGACUCCUACGGGAGGCAGCAGUGGGGAAUUUUGGACAAUGGGCGAAAGCCUGAUCCAGCCAUUCCGCGUGCAGGAUGAAGGCCCUCGGGUUGUAAACUGCUUUUGUACAGAACGAAAAAGCUCUGGCUAAUACCUGGAGUCCAUGACGGUACUGUAAGAAUAAGCACCGGCUAACUACGUG
Molecule: ribosomal RNA, 482 nt
Filed under: uncultured bacterium
Lineage: Bacteria
Description: bacterial SSU rRNA
Rfam family: Bacterial small subunit ribosomal RNA
Source: RNAcentral